UGGGAUUAAAGGUGCAAACUACCACGC
Molecule: non-coding RNA, 27 nt
Filed under: Mus musculus (house mouse)
Lineage: Eukaryota; Metazoa; Chordata; Mammalia; Rodentia; Muridae
Source: RNAcentral